GUCCCGCAUAUACUCAGUGGUAGAGCAUUUGACUGCAAAUCAAGUGGUUCCUAGUUCAAAUCUGGGUGCCC
Molecule: transfer RNA, 71 nt
Filed under: Pangasius djambal
Lineage: Eukaryota; Metazoa; Chordata; Actinopteri; Siluriformes; Pangasiidae
Description: tRNA-Cys
Rfam family: tRNA
About the family: Transfer RNA (tRNA) molecules are approximately 80 nucleotides in length. Their secondary structure includes four short double-helical elements and three loops (D, anti-codon, and T loops).
Source: RNAcentral